This 468-nucleotide ribosomal RNA is filed under the name uncultured bacterium. RNAcentral's name for it is "partial 16S ribosomal RNA". It matches the Rfam family "Bacterial small subunit ribosomal RNA", at positions 28 to 507 of the family's 1533-position model. The record is from RNAcentral.
GACGAACGCUGGCGGCGUGCUUAACACAUGCAAGUCGAACGGAAAGGCCCUGCUUUUGUGGGGUGCUCGAGUGGCGAACGGGUGAGUAACACGUGAGUAACCUGCCCUUGACUUUGGGAUAACUUCAGGAAACUGGGGCUAAUACCGGAUAGGAGCUCCUGCUGCAUGGUGGGGGUUGGAAAGUUUCGGCGGUUGGGGAUGGACUCGCGGCUUAUCAGCUUGUUGGUGGGGUAGUGGCUUACCAAGGCUUUGACGGGUAGCCGGCCUGAGAGGGUGACCGGGCACAUUGGGAAUGAGAUUCGGCCCAGACUUCCACGGGGGGCAGGAGGUGGGAAUUAUUCAACAUGGGCGGAAGCCCUAAGCAGCAACGCCGGGGGGCGGAAUAACGCCUUCGGGUUGUAAACCGCUUUCGCCUGUGACGAAGCGUGAGUGACGGUAAUGGGUAAAGAAGCACCGGCUAACUACGUG